RNAcentral lists this ribosomal RNA (1777 nucleotides) under Trichinella spiralis. RNAcentral's name for it is "SSU rRNA". It matches the Rfam family "Eukaryotic small subunit ribosomal RNA". The record is from RNAcentral. Lineage: Eukaryota; Metazoa; Nematoda; Enoplea; Trichinellida; Trichinellidae.
GCUUGUCUCAAAGAUUAAGCCAUGCAUGUGUAAGCACACACUGUUUUAAAAGUGAAGCCGCGAAUGGCUCAUUACAACAGCCACAGUUUAUUAGAACUUACAAUCAUGGAUAACUGUGGUAAUUCUAGAGCUAAUACACGCACAAAAACUUCAACUGAAUUGGUUGAAGUGCUUUUAUUAGAACAAAAACCGAACGGCGUUUGACGAAUGUUGAACGUCGAAACUGUUUGGUGAAUCUGAAUAACUAUUUCUGAUCGCAUGGUCUAGCACCGGCGACAUCACUUUCAAGUGUCUGCCUUAUCAACCUUCGAUGGUAGUCUAUGCGACUACCAUGGUGAUAACGGGUAACGGAGAAUCAGGGUUCGACUCCGGAGAGGGAGCCUGAGAAACGGCUACCACAUCCAAGGAAGGCAGCAGGCGCGCAAAUUACCCACUCCCAGCUUGGGGAGGUAGUGACGAAAAAUAACGAGACGAUUCUCGUUUGAGAAACGUUAUCGAAAUGAGUACGCUUUACACACGCUAACGAGUAGCAAUUGGAGGGCAAGUCUGGUGCCAGCAGCCGCGGUAAUUCCAGCUCCAAUAGCGUAUAUUAAAGUUGCUGCGGUUAAAACGCUCGUAGUUGAAUUGUGGUCUUAGACAACAGUCCCCCUACAAAGGUGUGGCACGGUUGCUCGAGAUCUUCAUUCGUGGUUGCUGUUGUUGCUCUUCAUUGAGUGUCAAUGGUGCCUCGAGAUUUUACUUUGAAAAAAUUAGAGUGCUCAAAGCAGGUUGUGAUGCCUGAAUAAUGGUGCAUGGAAUAAUAGAAUACGAUCUCGGUUCUAUUUUGUUGGUUUUCGAACCGGAGAUAAUGAUUGAAAGGAACAGACGGGGGCAUUCGUAUUGCUGCGUUAGAGGUGAAAUUCUUGGAUCGCAGCAAGAUGAACAAUUGCGAAAGCAUUUGCCAAGAAUGUUUUCAUUAAUCAAGAACGAAAGUUAGAGGUUCGAAGGCGAUCAGAUACCGCCCUAGUUCUAACGGUAAACUAUGCCAACCAGCGAUUCGCCGAAGUUCAUUUAAGACUCGGCGAGCAGCUUCCGGGAAACCAAAGUGUUUCGGUUCCGGGGGAAGUAUGGUUGCAAAGCUGAAACUUAAAGGAAUUGACGGAAGGGCACCACCAGGAGUGGAGCCUGCGGCUUAAUUUGACUCAACACGGGAAAACUCACCCGGCCCGGACACUGGAAGGAUUGACAGAUUGACAGCUCUUUCUUGAUUCAGUGGGUAGUGGUGCAUGGCCGUUCUUAGUUGGUGGAGCGAUUUGUCUGGUUAAUUCCGAUAACGAACGAGACUCUACCCUAUUAAAUAGUGACAGUAUUGUAUUUUUUGUGCUGAUCACUUCUUAGAGGGACUGGCAAAUUGAAAGCUGCACGAAAAAGAGCAAUAACAGGUCUGUGAUGCCCUUCGAUGUCCGGGGCUGCACGCGCGCUACAAUGAAAGCGUCAACGUGAGUUACGUCCUUACCUGAAAAGGUUUGGCAAUCGAAUGAAACGUUUUCUUGAAUGGAAUAGGGAAUUGCAAUUGUUUCCCUUGAACGAGGAAUUCCCAGUAAGCGUGAGUCAUUAGCUCGCGUUGAUUACGUCCCUGCCCUUUGUACACACCGCCCGUCGCUACUACCGAUUGGAUGAUUUAGUGAGGUGUUUUGACUGGCGCCAGUAGUCGGAUAUGUAUUCGCUUCGCGCCGGGAAAUUUCCCAAACCAAAUCAUCUAGAGGAAGUAAAAGUCGUAACAAGGUUUCCGUAGGCG